RNAcentral lists this ribosomal RNA (271 nucleotides) under uncultured archaeon. RNAcentral describes it as "partial 16S ribosomal RNA". It matches the Rfam family "Archaeal small subunit ribosomal RNA", at positions 477 to 747 of the family's 1478-position model. The record is from RNAcentral.
CAGCGCCAUGAGUAGCAAUCAGAAUUAUUGGGCCUAAAGCGUCCGUAGCCGGUUUAAUCAGUCUUUUGUGAAAUCGUUGGGCUUAACUUAACGUUGUGCAAGAGAUACUGUUAAACUUGAAACCGGGAGGAGUCAGAGGUAUUCUGGGGGGAGCGGUAAAAUGCUAUAAUCCCCGGAGGACCGCCUGUGGCGAAAGCGUCUGACUAGAACGGCUUUGACGGUGAGGGAUGAAAGCUGGGGGAGCAAACCGGAUUAGAUACCCGUGUAGUCC